AAUGACCUUCUGUGGCUACAGAGAAAGGCUUCAGGCAAAGAGAUGCAGCUCUGGGCCCCAGAGUCCGCUGGAGCACACUGAAGCUGGAGCACACUGAAGUGGAAGAUGGGGCUGCAGACAGAGACUGGGCAGCCUCUGCUCCAGGGAGGCCCGAGAGCCAGAGAGCAGAUUCCAUAAGAAGAAUAACUCCCAUUCCUCAUGCAUGAGACCCUCUGCUAAAUGCUUCCUGUGCACCACCUCCAGAAAUCCUCCCAAGCCAGGACACCAGCAGUAUUACAGGAACUGGAUGACAAAAAGAAGAGCCGAUAUAACCAGGAACCUACUCUGGCCACCCCAAGUAAGGAUCUAAAGUCCAGCCUCCUCCUCCACUGCCCUCAAGGCCUUUCCUCAUGAAAGCAGAGGUUCUGAAUGCUGAUUUCUGUUUUAAAGCCCAAUAACUCUUUAAACAUCU
This 451-nucleotide long non-coding RNA is filed under the name Homo sapiens (human). RNAcentral describes it as "long independently transcribed non-coding RNA 1682, transcript variant 4 (LINC01682)". Lineage: Eukaryota; Metazoa; Chordata; Mammalia; Primates; Hominidae. The record is from RNAcentral.